UAGGCAGCAGUCGGGAAUUUUGGGCAAUGGGCGAAAGCCUGACCCAGCAACGCCGCGUGAAGGAUGAAAUCCCUCGGGAUGUAAACUUCGCAAGAACAGGAAGAAUAAGUAAGGGUUAAUAUCUCUUACGAUGACGGUACUGUUUGUAAGCUCCGGCUAACUCCGUGCCAGCAGCCGCGGUAAUACGGGGGGAGCAAGCGUUGUUCGGAUUUACUGGGCGUAAAGGGCGCGUAGGCGGCCACCGCAAGUCGGUUGUGAAAUCUCUGGGCUUAACCCAGAAAGGUCAACCGAUACUGCGGGGCUAGAGUGCAGAAGGGGCAACUGGAAUUCUCGGUGUAGCGGUGAAAUGCGUAGAUAUCGAGAGGAACACCUGUGGCGAAGGCGGGUUGCUGGGCUGACACUGACGCUGAAGCGCGAAAGCUAGGGGAGCGAACGGGAUUAGAUACCCCGGUAGUCCUAGCCUUAAACGAUGAAUGCUUGGUGUCUGGGGUUAUAUAGUCCCCGGGUGCCGUCGCUAACGCUUUAAGCAUUCCGCCUGGGGAGUACGGUCGCAAGACUGAAACUCAAAGGAAUUGACGGGGACCCGCACAAGCGGUGGAGCAUGUGGUUUAAUUCGACGCAACGCGAAGAACCUUACCUGGGCUAGAAUGCCUCUGACAACCCUAGAGAUAGGGCCUUCUGGGUAAAACCAGACGGAGUGCAAGGUGCUGCAUGGCUGUCGUCAGCUCGUGUCGUGAGAUGUUGGGUUAAGUCCCGCAACGAGCGCAACCCUUAUCAAUAGUUGCCAGCGGUUCGGCCGGGCACUCUAUUGAGACUGCCGUUGACAAAACGGAGGAAGGUGGGGAUGACGUCAAGUCCUCAUGGCCUUUAUGUCCAGGGCUACACACGUGCUACAAUGGCA
This 901-nucleotide ribosomal RNA is filed under the name uncultured bacterium. Its description in RNAcentral is "bacterial SSU rRNA". It matches the Rfam family "Bacterial small subunit ribosomal RNA", at positions 345 to 1235 of the family's 1533-position model. The record is from RNAcentral.